UCCUCUCAGAAAUCAGAAGCAGGUCCUUCCUGAGUCACUUUGUAUGGCCAUGGCCUGCAGGGGCAAAACUACCCUGCGCAGGGGAGCACAAAGCAGUGGUUGCCAGUGCACUGAUUUUUAGCGGUGUAGGAUGAGCAGCACAUUGACCACUGAAGAAAGGCUGGAACUGCCUGUUUUGAACAUGUGCCUGGGACCCUUCAACAUGGGACACAGGGGCAGCUCCUGCUCACGCCCUGGUGCCCCUGCUUCCCAAAGGCUGCUAGAGUUCUGAUAUUAAAAUGCCUCAUUUUCUGCAGUCAGGGGAGAAAUGAAAUGAGCUCCCCAGAGCUCAGAUAAGCUCUGAUCCAUGGGGCUGGUGCAGCGAAUGGGCACCAUGCCACCCCCACCACAGCUUGCUCCUCAGCCCACCUCACUGUUUCAUUGCUGUCUUUCAUUGCUUUAAUGAGAGUCCCCCUGUGCUGAUGAGAGCUCAGAGUCCUCCUGGGCAGCACUGCUGGGACUGCCUAACACAAGCGUGCCAUGUUUAACCUAGAGCAAAGCUGUCAGUGAGAACAAGUAACAAAGCAAGGAGCUGUGUCACUCAUCCCUGCUGCACCCUGCUCCCCUCUCCUGCGCUGCUUUGUUUCCCACUAGUGGGAUCAGGGUUUAAUAACAACACAAACAGCUGUACAUGCAGCCCAAGUCCUCUGCAUUUGGAAGUAUAUCCAGCUGAUUCUUGUCAAGGAUCAUUAAGGGCCACGUAAACACCCAUGUCUCCCUGAGGUUGGUCUUCUUCCUAUUGAACUCAAAGCAGAAGCGAGGAAGCUGCUUUCCUCUCCCCUUCUCUGCUCCGAGGUAUUCCCAGACCUGGCAGACCCUGAGCUCUGCACUGGUGGUCCCUCAGCACCCUCCUGCUUGUUUGACCCAUGUUCAUUGGACACAAGGGGAGCAUCUCUGGACAAACAUAGGCAGUGCUGCCAGUUCAAAGGGAGUCCUGCUGUGAAUUAAAGGGCUUAUUAGUAUACCUGCACUGCUUCUCCUCCAUCAUCCCCUCACUGCCCAUGUGGUCAAUUAAUGUAAGGAAGACAAGAUAAAUCCCAAUGAGUAGAUCUGGAGACUUAUUUCUAUUAGAUCAGUCUCUUCCAUGAACAUUGUUGUUAGUUUGU
Molecule: long non-coding RNA, 1145 nt
Organism: Pezoporus flaviventris
Lineage: Eukaryota; Metazoa; Chordata; Aves; Psittaciformes; Psittacidae
Exons: 3
Source: RefSeq, a predicted model, not a curated record